This is a long non-coding RNA of Ipomoea nil (Japanese morning glory), 110 nucleotides long. RefSeq lists it as uncharacterized. Lineage: Eukaryota; Viridiplantae; Streptophyta; Magnoliopsida; Solanales; Convolvulaceae. The transcript has 3 exons. The record is from RefSeq and is a predicted model, not a curated record.
UUGAUGCCAUAUAAUUAAAUAUAAAGUAGUAUAAAGUAUAAAGCAUAACAUUACAGGAAUCAUAGGAAGUGUAGAACCACCAAUCCUCCCAGCUCCACUCCCACCAUCAG